Molecule: ribosomal RNA, 360 nt
Filed under: uncultured bacterium
Lineage: Bacteria
Description: partial 16S ribosomal RNA
Rfam family: Bacterial small subunit ribosomal RNA
Source: RNAcentral
CCUACGGGAGGCAGCAGUGAUGAAUAUUGGUCAAUGGACGAGAGUCUGAACCAGCCAAUUAGCGUGAAGGAUGACUGCCCUAUGGGUUGUAAACUUCUUUUAUAAAGGAAUAAAACGAGGCACGUGUGCCUUUUUGCAUGUACUUUAUUAAUAAGUAUCGGCUAACUCCGUGCCAGCAGCCGCGGUAAUACGGAGGAUCCGAGCGUUAUCCGGAUUUAUUGGUUUUAAAGGGAGCGUAGAUGGGUUGUUAAUUCAGUUUUGAAAGUUUGCGGCUCAACCGUAAAAUUGAAAUGGAUACUGGCAGUAUUGAGUACAGUUGAGGGAGGCGGAAUGCGUGGUGUAGCGGGGAAAUGCUUAGAU